GGCCUGUUUCAUGGAUAGGGUCCCCUUGCCCGCGUGAAAGUCUCAUUCCUCCUCAGCUCAGAAACACUCCAAGGUCUCGGCGCCCUAUACUGGCCUUCCCUCAUCCGAAUACCCCUCGUGCUCCUGAUGUACUUUUCCAUUCCCACUCCCUACUCUGGCAGUCUAGCUUCUAAGCUGAGGAGUUUGGCCUUCGCUCCAGGUGCGGGGACUCGUGGAAGGAUUUGAUUCGCGCUUGAGAAAGAUCGCUCCGCUCCUGUAAGGAAGAGAGCGUGUAGGGGCUGCAACCAGAGACACAGUCAGAAGCUCCGAGGCUACCGCGAUGGUCCAGCACGCGGUCUGGUGGCACCCUGCAGGAUUUACCAGCUUUUUGCCAACAUUCUGGCCUAUGCAAUCAAUACGUCCCUUCAGCGUUGCACUUGGAUGGAUUGGACCUAUAGUUGUUAUAUAUGGAUAUUGUCUAAUUUAUUUAUUACAGUAUUAACUGACUCCU
RNAcentral lists this long non-coding RNA (490 nucleotides) under Homo sapiens (human). RNAcentral's name for it is "non-protein coding BOLA3-AS1:11". The record is from RNAcentral. Lineage: Eukaryota; Metazoa; Chordata; Mammalia; Primates; Hominidae.